GUGGGUGACAAGAGUAGAUAAUGUCUGUGGAUAAUGAAACAAAACCUUUUUCUUUGUGUCCCGGGGCCAGUAUUCUGGGGACCUGGGCAGCGGGGAGCAGAGAAGGGCGGCUGGAACAAACUUCUCUUUGAUGGCUGAAGCAGGAAGACCUUGGGGGAAAAGCAAACAGAAAAAGCCCAGAAAAGACGGACUUGAGCCACAGCUCUGACAAGGAUAACAGCUUAUUCGUAUUUGAAGAGGGUCCCACCCCAGAGUCUCUUGGUCAGCGAGGCAGAGGUGGAGCUUGGCAUUGGUUUGGGACAACGCUUCCCAGGGGACUCCAACAUGGUCCCGGGUUGACAGCGUUGUCCUGAGGCUCCAGGAAUCCCAGAAGAAGAUCUCGGGCUUUCAAGGAGCAAAUGUGUUCUACUCGAGCACUGAAAACAAGGAAAUCCAAGCCAGGCUCCCACUCCAGGGCACCUCGUCAACCUGGAGACCAGGCCAGACCCAAUGGGAUCGUUAGGAUGCUGUCGCUGUGUCUCAGGAAUC
This 528-nucleotide long non-coding RNA is filed under the name Cervus hanglu yarkandensis (Yarkand deer). Its description in RNAcentral is "lncRNA (ENSCHYG00000000303.1)". Lineage: Eukaryota; Metazoa; Chordata; Mammalia; Artiodactyla; Cervidae. The record is from RNAcentral.